Molecule: unclassified non-coding RNA, 221 nt
Filed under: plant metagenome
Description: partial contains small subunit ribosomal RNA, internal transcribed spacer 1, and 5.8S ribosomal RNA
Rfam family: 5.8S ribosomal RNA (bases 152-221)
Source: RNAcentral
GUAGGUGAACCUGCGGAAGGAUCAUUGCAAAAACCUUUACAGGUGGCGCAAGCCGCCUGUGAAUAACACAAGGUCGUCUGGGGGUGAUAUAUUAUCUCCAGAUAACACAAGCGCGUAUUCGUGUGGCAGUCUGAAUAUUCAAUAAUGACAAAACUUUUAACAAUGGAUCUCUUGGCUCUUGCAUCGAUGAAGAACGCAGCAUCUGACUGACUGGAAGCUUG